Passer domesticus (house sparrow) is the source of this 282-nucleotide long non-coding RNA. RefSeq lists it as uncharacterized. The transcript is spliced from 3 exons. NCBI's taxonomy places the organism in Eukaryota, Metazoa, Chordata, Aves, Passeriformes, Passeridae. The record is from RefSeq and is a predicted model, not a curated record.
AGCUGAGAUAGGAGAGCUGCUUUACAGCAGACUCUCACAUGUCCCUCCUCUGGCUUUUGAGGAAGCAUUAGGGCAUGCUCUGCAGUACCUGUGCUGGCACUGCAAAGUCGACCCAGAGCUGGUGAUUGUUUUACUUGUGAUCAUUCACAGAGAAGAUCCUGGGACAGUGUUUUGCCAGAAUUUAGCUACACUUAUUGUCCCUGCUAGAGUUUUCAGAAAGUCCAGUUAUGUCACGCUGCAAGAAUCUCAGCUUUUCCCACAUGCUCACGCUCACUGGUCCAC